GACGAACGCUGGCGGCAUGCCUAAUACAUGCAAGUUGAACGAUGAUAUUCUCUGCUUGCAGAGAAUUGAAGAGUAGCGAACGGGUGAGUAACACGUGGGGAACCUGCCCAUGAGAGGGGGAUAACAUUCGGAAACGGAUGCUAAUACCGCAUAAUGCUUUGGACCGCCUGGUCCAGAGACGAAAGACGGCUUUUGCUGUCACUCAUGGAUGGCCCCGCGCCGUAUUAGCUAGUUGGUGAGGUAAUGGCUCACCAAAGCUGUGAUACGUAGCCGACCUGAGAGGGUGAUCGGCCACACUGGGACUGAGACACGGCCCAGACUCCUACGGGAGGCAGCAGUAGGGAAUCUUCCACAAUGGGCGAAAACCUGAUGGAGCAAUGCCGCGUGAAUGAAGAAGGUCUUCGGAUCGUAAAGUUCUGUUAUUAGAGAAGAACAAGUCAAGGAGUAACUGUCUUGACUUUGACGGUACCUAACCAGAAAGUCACGGCUAACUACGUGCCAGCCGCCGCCGUAACAC
RNAcentral lists this ribosomal RNA (517 nucleotides) under uncultured bacterium. RNAcentral's name for it is "bacterial SSU rRNA". It matches the Rfam family "Bacterial small subunit ribosomal RNA", at positions 28 to 526 of the family's 1533-position model. The record is from RNAcentral.